UAUCUGUGUGUCGUGAUGACGCGUUUUAAUAGCGGCUAAACCUUCAAAGCUUCUUCUUCAUCAUCGAUAGUUUCCCUGUUUUACAGGAAAUUAUAUAAAUUUUCAUUCCCUUCUGUUUUUAGUUUGCUUUGCACCCAUCCUUUCCCAAUGUUUUUAUUCUUCUUCCUCCUCUCUUUCUUCCUCUCUUUCAUAUUCUUAUUAUUUUCUUUCCACUGCAAGAAACUCCAUAACCAACAACAACUACAAGUACAAGAAGAGGAGGGGAACUCCCAUAAUGAAUCUGUCCUUUUGAACGAUUCAAAAUCACCAGCCCGCGAAAACGAAUCGACCCAUUUGCCCCAUUCGCUUCGUCUUGAGAUCAUGCCUUCCGAUUCUGUAAAAUGGGCUGGUUUAUUUGCCGGGGAAAACCAACAUAAAGGGGAUGCCGGUCAAUUCGGGUCGGGUCUAGAUGGGGAGCCGUGUGAAUCGGGUGGUGAGGAACAGAGGACGAAGAAGAAAAAGAAGAAAAGAGGGAAGAAGAAGAGAUUGAAUUCCAAAAGCGAUGACGAAAAUGGUGAAGAAAGGUGUAGCUUUUCCGAGGACGAUAAGAAGAUGGAAGAAUCGGUUCGUGGGGGUCGGGUCAAGCCGGAUCUUGUUUGCUUGUACCCUUUUACAUCAACGAGUAGUGCAACACAGAGGAAGAUCAAGCAACAGUAUGAUCAGCUUGUUAAGUGCCAUGAAAACAAAGGAUUAACAUUGGCUCAGGUAGGAGACUUUGCUAAUUGCUUGAUAGAGGCUAGGAAUGAGCUGCAGCAGAAGUCUGAGGUGAUUAAACGAAAGUUUACAAUAACAAGGGCUCUACUCUUCAAAGCAGACCGAUCAUCAUUUGAUCGCCUAAGGCAGCAGAUAUGCAAGCUAGAAAUGGAGCAAAAGAGAUUAGAAGAGGAUGCAUUUGUCUAUAACUGGCUCCAACAGCAACUUAAAUUAUCACCGGCCUAUAAGAAGGAACAUGAUGAUGCUAGAAGUUUGUACUUGCAUAGAGUCGAAGCGCAAGUCCUGCGAGCCAAUUGAAGACACAGAUUCUGAAUUCACUGACAUCUCUUUCGAAGAGUUAUUAGCUCAGGAAAAGAAGGAUUCGUUUUGGCAGAAAAAUGGGAAACCAAGAUUAAGCUCAAACUGAUGACAGCAUUUCUUUAGCCAACUCGACUGAGAAGCCCCACUUUUUGUAGUAUGUAUAUUCGAAUUAUGUUUCUUUAGUUUCUGCAGCAAAAUCAUUGUCAUAACUUCAAGUUUUACAGGCUCUCCCGUGAAAAGCUAUUAGAUCGUAUAGAACGACAAAGCUGAUUUACACGCCAUGUUUUCAGCUGAAGUUCAGCCCUCAGCUAGCAGCAAACUCCCAUCUUUCGAGAUC
This is an RNA transcript of Hibiscus syriacus, 1390 nucleotides long. RefSeq lists it as uncharacterized. Lineage: Eukaryota; Viridiplantae; Streptophyta; Magnoliopsida; Malvales; Malvaceae. The transcript is spliced from 7 exons. The record is from RefSeq and is a predicted model, not a curated record.